CCCCCCCCCCCCCCCCCCCCCCCCCCCCCCCCCCCCCGAUGAGGAAGAAGACUCGGGGUCAGAGGUCAGGAGGUGUAUAGUGAAAACUUUGUGACGUUCCGAUGUCGGUUUAAUAAAAACGUUCGAGAAUUUGAAUUCCUCAUUCUUGGAGUUUUUUUAUAAAAUAACAAAACCGUCAAUUACAAUGGUGGAGAUCAGUGAUAACAAGGAGAAAAGUGAACACGAGGAGGAAGAAGAAGAAGAAGAAGCUGAGAAGAAGAGAAGAAUGAAAGGACGAUGAAGAACUUCCGGGUUGUUGUUCCCGUAAACCUCGUGCAGAACCUCGAACCGAGAUCGUCGUGGUCGUGACUGAUGGGAAGAGGUAAGAUCCACAACGUUGAAUCAAGCAAGUUAUACCGAAUUAAUGGACGUGAAAGGGAGUUUGUGAGCGGUCAACAACAACGGUGGAGAUCACCGAUGAAAAGGACAAAAGUGAUCACGAGGAGGAAGAAGAACUUCCGGGUUGAUGUUCCUACAAGCCUCGAACCGAGAUCCUCGUGGUCGGGACGGCAUUGAUGGGAAGAGGUCAUCGGUGAAAUGGACAACUUCUUGAAAUGGCUCCAAUCACAAGCCGCAGGUUGUCCAGCUUGCAGGCUCUUCUCUCUUGGGAAGUCUUUUCCUCAACUUGGAGAAUGUUGUUCGAGAACUUUCCAGUUUCUGCAAAAAGUUUAUUGGAUUCCAAAAUGUGCAGCUGGAAAAUAUUCCUGGUUUCUGGGAAAACAGUUUCAGUGAUGUCUGCAACUUCCAUGAUCAGGAUGACGGAUUCACACCUGAGUCUGUAAGACAAGAAAUGGUGUCAGCGAACAGCACUACUUAUUCGUCUCCGCCACAGAGCUGCAGAUGUAUCUCAUCCCAUUAUCUAUCAUUUUAGAAUCAACACCAGUAUUGAUAAACUCUGGUAAUACUGGUAU
This 950-nucleotide long non-coding RNA is filed under the name Eptatretus burgeri (inshore hagfish). Its description in RNAcentral is "lncRNA (ENSEBUG00000017389.1)". Lineage: Eukaryota; Metazoa; Chordata; Myxini; Myxiniformes; Myxinidae. The record is from RNAcentral.